This 28-nucleotide small RNA is filed under the name Bombyx mori (domestic silkworm). RNAcentral's name for it is "ovarian small RNA-29821". Lineage: Eukaryota; Metazoa; Arthropoda; Insecta; Lepidoptera; Bombycidae. The record is from RNAcentral.
UCUCUAAUGACUGGAGUAGCUGCCUCUA